This is a long non-coding RNA of Tachysurus fulvidraco (yellow catfish), 699 nucleotides long. RefSeq lists it as uncharacterized. Lineage: Eukaryota; Metazoa; Chordata; Actinopteri; Siluriformes; Bagridae. The transcript is spliced from 3 exons. The record is from RefSeq and is a predicted model, not a curated record.
GAGGAGUUGGAGGUGGAGGAGGAGGAGGAGGAGGAGUGUUUCCUUCAGGUGAAUUAGACCUGACUUUUCCACAUUUUUCUGCAGACUGCUCAUCACUCCUGACUUCUUUUCUUGUUAAAUAUGGUCCUCAUUGUACUGUGCGUUUGUGUAGAACAGGAGAUGAAGUUUGACACACAGCUCCAGUUUCCAGAACACACGCACACACAAACACACACUCACAUACACUCACACACACUCACACACACACACACACACUCACACACACACAAACACACACUCCAGACAGCUGACACACACCGAAAACACCAAGCCAGAAGUCCAAAUAAGGAAGAGAAGAGGAAGUCGUGGACACAGUGGAGGUUUUACAUGGCCUUACAGAGACACAGAAGACAGAAGUGCCACAUCACACCAUGCUACUGAUGUGAAAGGAAAAUAGAGUUAUUCAUAAAAUAAACAGAGAGAGAGAGUUAAUGAAACCAAAUAUCAUUCAUUCAUUCUUUCAUUCAUACAUUCAUUCAUCUUCUACCGCUUAUCUGAACUUCUCGGGUCACGGGGAGCCUGUGCCCAUCUCAGGCGUCAUCGGGCAUCGAGGCAGGAUACACCCUGGACGGAGUGCCAACCCAUCCAAAUAUCAUCUAAUGAUUAUUAAUUUGAGUGGUGUUACUGACUGUCAGGUGUGUUACUGACUGUCAGGUGUUU